This 522-nucleotide ribosomal RNA is filed under the name Heliobolus bivari (Bivar's bushveld lizard). Its description in RNAcentral is "partial large subunit ribosomal RNA". It matches the Rfam family "Bacterial large subunit ribosomal RNA", at positions 1817 to 2597 of the family's 2925-position model. Lineage: Eukaryota; Metazoa; Chordata; Lepidosauria; Squamata; Lacertidae. The record is from RNAcentral.
AGCCUUUAGCUAAACUAGUAUUAAAGGUUCUGCCUGCCCAGUGAACUUUUUAAACGGCCGCGGUAUCCUAACCGUGCAAAGGUAGCAUAAUCACUUGUCUCCUAAAUAGAGACUAGAAUGAAUGGCUAAAUGAGGACAAAACUGUCUCUUACACUUAACCAAUGAAACUGAUCUUUCAGUACAAAAGCUGAAAUAAACCCAUAAGACGAGAAGACCCUGUGGAGCUUUUAGAUCAACAUCACCAUUAUGUUUUACCUGAUCUUCAGUUGGGGCAACUUCGGAGCAUAAUAAACCCUCCGACAAACUAAUCGUUAAUAAGAUUAAACAAAUCAAAUUUAAACUUACCUGACCCAGUAAUAUUUUAAUUAUCUGAUCAACGGACCAAGUUACCCCAGGGAUAACAGCGCUAUCCCCCUUUAGAGUCCUUAUCGACAGGGGGGUUUACGACCUCGAUGUUGGAUCAGGACACCCCGAUAGUGCAGCAGCUAUCAAAGGUUCGUUUGUUCAACGAUUAAUAGUCCU